GAUGAACGCUGGCGGCGUGCCUAAUACAUGCAAGUCGAGCGAACGGACGAGAAGCUUGCUUGUCUGAUGUUAGCGGCGGACGGGUGAGUAACACGUGGAUAACCUACCUAUAAGACUGGGAUAACUUCGGGAAACCGUAGCUAAUACCGGAUAAUAUUUUGAACCGCAUGGUUCAAAAGUGAAAGACGGUCUUGCUGUCACUUAUAGAUGGAUCCGCGCUGCAUUAGCUAGUUGGUAAGGUAACGGCUUACCAAGGCAACGAUGCAUAGCCGACCUGAGAGGGUGAUCGGCCACACUGGAACUGAGACACGGUCCAGACUCCUACGGGAGGCAGCAGUAGGGAAUCUUCCGCAAUGGGCGAAAGCCUGACGGAGCAACGCCGCGUGAGUGAUGAAGGUCUUCGGAUCGUAAAACUCUGUUAUUAGGGAAGAACAUAUGUGUAAGUAACUGUGCACAUCUUGACGGUACCUAAUCAGAAAGCCACGGCUAACUACGUG
RNAcentral lists this ribosomal RNA (497 nucleotides) under uncultured bacterium. Its description in RNAcentral is "partial 16S ribosomal RNA". It matches the Rfam family "Bacterial small subunit ribosomal RNA", at positions 28 to 507 of the family's 1533-position model. The record is from RNAcentral.